CCGGUGCUUGCACUGGUCAAUCUAGUGGCGAACGGGUGAGUAACACGUGGGUAACCUGCCCAUCAGAGGGGGAUAACAUUCGGAAACGGAUGCUAAAACCGCAUAGGUCUUCGAACCGCAUGGUUUGAAGAGGAAAAGAGGCGCAAGCUUCUGCUGAUGGAUGGACCCGCGGUGCAUUAGCUAGUUGGUGAGGUAACGGCUCACCAAGGCCGUGAUGCAUAGCCGACCUGAGAGGGUGAUCGGCCACAUUGGGACUGAGACACGGCCCAAACUCCUACGGGAGGCAGCAGUAGGGAAUCUUCCGCAAUGGACGCAAGUCUGACGGAGCAACGCCGCGUGAGUGAAGAAGGUUUUCGGAUCGUAAAACUCUGUUGUUAGAGAAGAACAAGUGCUAGAGUAACUGUUAGCGCCUUGACGGUAUCUAACCAGAAAGCCACGGCUAACUACGUGCCAGCAGCCGCGGUAAUACGUAGGUGGCAAGCGUUGUCCGGAUUUAUUGGGCGUAAAGCGAGCGCAGGCGGUUCCUUAAGUCUGAUGUGAAAGCCCCCGGCUCAACCGGGGAGGGUCAUUGGAAACUGGGGAACUUGAGUGCAGAAGAGGAGAGUGGAAUUCCAUGUGUAGCGGUGAAAUGCGUAGAUAUAUGGAGGAACACCAGUGGCGAAGGCGACUCUCUGGUCUGUAACUGACGCUGAGGCUCGAAAGCGUGGGUAGCAAACAGGAUUAGAUACCCUGGUAGUCCACGCCGUAAACGAUGAGUGCUAAGUGUUGGAGGGUUUCCGCCCUUC
This 785-nucleotide ribosomal RNA is filed under the name uncultured Granulicatella sp. RNAcentral's name for it is "bacterial SSU rRNA". It matches the Rfam family "Bacterial small subunit ribosomal RNA", at positions 73 to 841 of the family's 1533-position model. Lineage: Bacteria; Bacillati; Bacillota; Bacilli; Lactobacillales; Carnobacteriaceae. The record is from RNAcentral.